ACUUUGGCAUUUUCCUUAAAUUCACUCGAAUCAUACAUACGUGAGAAUCACCUAAUGAUCAAUGAUCCACCUGCAAACAAUGCUCAAUUGCACAAUCGCUCCCGCAAGGCAUUUUCAAGUAGUUCACACUUUUCGACCAAGGUUCUAAAAGUUCAUCACACUACUCACAUAUACUCUUAAUUCAAGGUAAUUCACUCAAAUCAACACAUCAAUGCAAGUCAACCAUAAUUUUGCAAGUAAUCUAAAAAUUCAUUCGGUUCACUUUGUGCACACACAUUAGAGGUCUUCUAGGGUUAUAACGUGGCUUGGCUAGGGUGAAUGGUG
Molecule: long non-coding RNA, 324 nt
Filed under: Trifolium pratense (red clover)
Lineage: Eukaryota; Viridiplantae; Streptophyta; Magnoliopsida; Fabales; Fabaceae
Description: long non-coding RNA (TPRA_LNC006239)
Source: RNAcentral